CUACGGGAUGCUGCAGUGAGGAAUAUUGCACAAUGGGGGGAACCCUGAUGCAGCAACGCCGCGUGGAGGAUGACGCAUUUCGGUGUGUAAACUCCUUUUAUAUGUCAAGAAAAUGACGGUAGCAUAUGAAUAAGCACCGGCUAACUCCGUGCCAGCAGCCGCGGUAAUACGGAGGGUGCAAGCGUUACUCGGAAUCACUGGGCGUAAAGGACGCGUAGGCGGGUUGGAAAGUCAGGUGUGAAAUCCUACAGCUUAACUGUAGAACUGCACUUGAAACUUCUAAUCUAGAGUAUGGGAGGGGAGAUGGAAUUAGUGGUGUAGGGGUAAAAUCCGUAGAUAUCACUAGGAAUACCGAAAGCGAAGGCGAUCUCCUGGAACAUUACUGACGCUAAGGCGUGAAAGCGUGGGGAGCAAACAGGAUUAGAUACCCUCGUAGUC
This 438-nucleotide ribosomal RNA is filed under the name uncultured bacterium. RNAcentral describes it as "partial 16S ribosomal RNA". It matches the Rfam family "Bacterial small subunit ribosomal RNA", at positions 339 to 795 of the family's 1533-position model. The record is from RNAcentral.